AUGGCGAUGGCGCUGUUGAAGGUGUAUGCGGACCGGCUGUCGCAGCCGUCGCGCGCCAUCAUCAUCUUGUGCAAGGUCAACCGGAUCGACUUCCAGGAGCUCACCGUGGAUCUCGCCAAGGGACAACACCGCGCACCAGAAUUCACCAAAAUCAACCCCAUGGCACAGGUCCCAACAAUCGUCGAUGGAAGAUUCAAACUAUUUGAAAGCCAUGCCAUUCUGAGGUAUCUUGCCACCGUCUUCCCCGGGGUUCCAGAUCACUGGUACCCUGCUGACUUAUUUACCAGAGCAAAACUCGAGUCUGUCUUGGAUUGGCAUCACUCUAAUCUGCGCCGUGGUGCAGCAACCUAUGUACUGCACACCGCGUUGGGUCCUGCUCUCGGUCUCACACCGAAUCCUGAAACCGCAAAAGAGGCCGAGAAGUUGCUGUCGCGAUCACUGGGAACGAUCGAAACCGUGUGGCUCAAAGGCGAUGCCAAAUUCUUGAAUGGCAACCCCCAGCCAUCAAUCGCAGACCUCAGCCUCGUGUGCGAGAUAAUGCAGCUGGAGGUUGUUGGUGACGAGAGGCGUGACAGAAUUCUGGGACCUCACGACAAGGUGCGCGCUUGGAUGGAGAAUGUGAAGAAGGCCACCAGCCCUCAUUUUGAUGAGGUCCAUGAGCUCAUCUUCAAACUCAAGGCGCGCUUGAACCCAGUAUCCAAGCUCUGA
This 708-nucleotide ribosomal RNA is filed under the name Triticum aestivum (bread wheat). RNAcentral's name for it is "partial small subunit ribosomal RNA". The record is from RNAcentral. Lineage: Eukaryota; Viridiplantae; Streptophyta; Magnoliopsida; Poales; Poaceae.